This 689-nucleotide ribosomal RNA is filed under the name uncultured Actinomycetes bacterium. RNAcentral's name for it is "bacterial SSU rRNA". It matches the Rfam family "Bacterial small subunit ribosomal RNA", at positions 51 to 749 of the family's 1533-position model. Lineage: Bacteria; Bacillati; Actinomycetota; Actinomycetes. The record is from RNAcentral.
ACACAUGCAAGUCGAACGAGGUCCAUCCACUCGCAAGAGUGGUGAAGACCUAGUGGCGAACGGGUGAGUAACACGUGAGAAACCUGCCCCGAAGACCGGGAUAACUCACCGAAAGGUGAGCUAAUACCGGAUGCCUUCACGACGUCUCAUGGCGAUGUGAAGAAAUGGAUUCCGCUUCGGGAGGGUCUCGCGGCCUAUCAGCUUGUUGGUGAGGUAACGGCUCACCAAGGCGACGACGGGUAGCUGUUCUGAGAGGAAGAUCAGCCACACUGGGACUGAGACACGGCCCAGACUCCUACGGGAGGCAGCAGUGGGGAAUCUUGCGCAAUGGGCGAAAGCCUGACGCAGCGAUGCCGCGUGCGGGAAGACGGCCUUCGGGUUGUAAACCGCUUUCAGCAGGGACGAAAUUGACGGUACCUGCAGAAGAAGCUCCGGCCAACUACGUGCCAGCAGCCGCGGUAAGACGUAGGGGGCGAGCGUUGUCCGGAAUUAUUGGGCGUAAAGGGCUCCUAGGCGGUUCAGUAAGUCGACUGUGAAAAUCCAAGGCUAAACCUUGGGACGCCAGUCGAUACUGCUGUGACUCGAGUUCGGUAGAGGAGUGUGGAAUUCCUGGUGUAGCGGUGAAAUGCGCAGAUAUCAGGAGGAACACCAACGGCGAAGGCAGCACUCUGGGCCGAUACUGACGCUGA